This 209-nucleotide long non-coding RNA is filed under the name Elaeis guineensis (African oil palm). Its description in RNAcentral is "long non-coding RNA (EGUI_LNC070012)". The record is from RNAcentral. Lineage: Eukaryota; Viridiplantae; Streptophyta; Magnoliopsida; Arecales; Arecaceae.
CCUUCAAGCCUUGCGUUAUUGUGCACAUACUUUUUUAAGAUGCAUAAAAAUCUGCAAACAAAAAUAAAUUUUAAUUUUAAAAAUAUAUUUAUAUCUUAUAACUGAUAUGACAAAUAACGUAUAACUUCUUUACCUUUCAAUAGGAUACAUCCAUCGAUAAUAUAUCGGUCUGAUUAAAAGAGCUUCUUUUGGAAGAUGGACAACCAGAU